UACGGAGGGGGCUAGCGUUGUUCGGAAUUACUGGGCGUAAAGCGCGCGUAGGCGGACCUGCAAGUCGGGGGUGAAAGCCCGAGGCUCAACCUCGGAACUGCCUUCGAUACUGCGGGUCUCGAGUCCGGGAGAGGUGAGUGGAAUUCCUAGUGUAGAGGUGAAAUUCGUAGAUAUCGAGAGGAACACCUGUGGCGAAGGCGGCCUUCUGGACGGUGACUGACGCUGAGACGCGAAAGCGUGGGGAGCAAACAGG
This 253-nucleotide ribosomal RNA is filed under the name uncultured bacterium. RNAcentral's name for it is "partial 16S ribosomal RNA". It matches the Rfam family "Bacterial small subunit ribosomal RNA", at positions 524 to 776 of the family's 1533-position model. The record is from RNAcentral.